RNAcentral lists this ribosomal RNA (359 nucleotides) under uncultured Desulfobulbus sp. Its description in RNAcentral is "bacterial SSU rRNA". It matches the Rfam family "Bacterial small subunit ribosomal RNA", at positions 1025 to 1382 of the family's 1533-position model. Lineage: Bacteria; Pseudomonadati; Thermodesulfobacteriota; Desulfobulbia; Desulfobulbales; Desulfobulbaceae. The record is from RNAcentral.
AAUCUGGAGACAGGUGCUGCAUGGCUGUCGUCAGCUCGUGUCGUGAGAUGUUGGGUUAAGUCCCGCAACGAGCGCAACCCUUGCCUUUAGUUGCCAGCAGUUCGGCUGGGCACUCUAAAGGGACUGCCGGUGUUAAACCGGAGGAAGGUGGGGAGUGACGUCAAGUCCUCAUGGCCUUUAUGACCAGGGCUACACACGUACUACAAUGGCCGAUACAAAGGGCAGCGACACUGCGAGGUGAAGCCAAUCCCGUAAAAUACGGUCUCAGUCCGGAUUGGAGUCUGCAACUCGACUCCAUGAAGUUGGAAUCGCUAGUAAUCGUGGAUCAGCAUGCCACGGUGAAUACGUUCCCGGGCCUU